This 722-nucleotide ribosomal RNA is filed under the name uncultured Fusobacterium sp. RNAcentral's name for it is "bacterial SSU rRNA". It matches the Rfam family "Bacterial small subunit ribosomal RNA", at positions 28 to 776 of the family's 1533-position model. The record is from RNAcentral. Lineage: Bacteria; Fusobacteriati; Fusobacteriota; Fusobacteriia; Fusobacteriales; Fusobacteriaceae.
GAUGAACGCUGACAGAAUGCUUAACACAUGCAAGUCUACUUGAACUUCGGUUUGGGUGGCGGACGGGUGAGUAACGCGUAAAGAACUUGCCUCACAGUUAGGGACAACAUUUGGAAACGAAUGCUAAUACCUGAUAUUAUGAUUUUAGGGCAUCCUAAGAUUAUGAAAGCCAUAUGCGCUGUGAGAGAGCUUUGCGUCCCAUUAGCUAGUUGGAGAGGUAACGGCUCACCAAGGCGAUGAUGGGUAGCCGGCCUGAGAGGGUGAACGGCCACAAGGGGACUGAGACACGGCCCUUACUCCUACGGGAGGCAGCAGUGGGGAAUAUUGGACAAUGGACCAAAAGUCUGAUCCAGCAAUUCUGUGUGCACGAUGACGUUUUUCGGAAUGUAAAGUGCUUUCAGUUGGGAAGAAAAAAAUGACGGUACCAACAGAAGAAGUGACGGCUAAAUACGUGCCAGCAGCCGCGGUAAUACGUAUGUCACAAGCGUUAUCCGGAUUUAUUGGGCGUAAAGCGCGUCUAGGUGGUUAUGUAAGUCUGAUGUGAAAAUGCAGGGCUCAACUCUGUAUUGCGUUGGAAACUGCAUGACUAGAGUACUGGAGAGGUAAGCGGAACUACAAGUGUAGAGGUGAAAUUCGUAGAUAUUUGUAGGAAUGCCGAUGGGGAAGCCAGCUUACUGGACAGAUACUGACGCUAAAGCGCGAAAGCGUGGGUAGCAAACAGG